UAGGGAAUAUUGGACAAUGGGCACAAGCCUGAUCCAGCCAUGCCGCGUGGAUGAUGAAGGCCUUAGGGUUGUAAAAUCCUUUCGCCGAGGACGAUAAUGACGGUACUCGGAGAAGAAGCUCCGGCUAACUUCGUGCCAGCAGCCGCGGUAAUACGAAGGGGGCUAGCGUUGCUCGGAUUUACUGGGCGUAAAGCGCGUGUAGGCGGGUCGUUAAGUUGGGGGUGAAAUCCCGAGGCUCAACCUCGGAACUGCCUUCAAAACUGGCGACCUGGACCUAAGUAGAGGCAAGUGGAAUUGCGAGUGUAGAGGUGAAAUUCGUAGAUAUUCGCAGGAACACCAGUGGCGAAGGCGACUUGCUGGACUUAUGGUGACGCUGAGACGCGAAAGCGUGGGGAGCAAACAGGAUUAGAUACCCCUGUAGUCCCUGAGCGGGCUGGCAAGGCGCAU
Molecule: ribosomal RNA, 447 nt
Filed under: uncultured bacterium
Lineage: Bacteria
Description: bacterial SSU rRNA
Rfam family: Bacterial small subunit ribosomal RNA
Source: RNAcentral